RNAcentral lists this ribosomal RNA (465 nucleotides) under Vreelandella stevensii. Its description in RNAcentral is "partial 16S ribosomal RNA". It matches the Rfam family "Bacterial small subunit ribosomal RNA", at positions 338 to 795 of the family's 1533-position model. Lineage: Bacteria; Pseudomonadati; Pseudomonadota; Gammaproteobacteria; Oceanospirillales; Halomonadaceae. The record is from RNAcentral.
UCUACGGGGUGCAGCAGUGGGGAAUAUUGGACAAUGGGCGAAAGCCUGAUCCAGCCAUGCCGCGUGUGUGAAGAAGGCCUUCGGGUUGUAAAGCACUUUCAGUGGGGAAGAAAGCCUUGGGGCUAAUACCCUCGAGGAAGGACAUCACCCACAGAAGAAGCACCGGCUAACUCCGUGCCAGCAGCCGCGGUAAUACGGAGGGUGCGAGCGUUAAUCGGAAUUACUGGGCGUAAAGCGCGCGUAGGCGGUCUGAUAAGCCGGUUGUGAAAGCCCCGGGCUCAACCUGGGAACGGCAUCCGGAACUGGCAAGCUAGAGUGCAGGAGAGGAAGGUGGAAUUCCCGGUGUAGAGGUGAAAUGCGUAGAGAUCGGGAGGAAUACCAGUGGCGAAGGCGGCCGUCUGGACUGACACUGACGCUGAGGUGCGAAAGCGUGGGUAGCAAACAGGAUUAGAUACCCUAGUAGUC